GACGAACGCUGGCGGCGUGCUUAACACAUGCAAGUCGAACGGUAAGGCCCUUCGGGGUACACGAGUGGCGAACGGGUGAGUAACACGUGGGUGAUCUGCCCUGCACUUCGGGAUAAGCCUGGGAAACUGGGUCUAAUACCGGAUAGGACUCCGGACUGCAUGGUCUGGGGUGGAAAGCUUUUGCGGUGUGGGAUGGGCCCGCGGCCUAUCAGCUUGUUGGUGGGGUGAUGGCCUACCAAGGCGAAGACGGGUAGCCGGCCUGAGAGGGUGACCGGCCACACUGGGGGUGCGAUACGGCCCGGACUCCUGCGGGAGGCGGCAGUGGGGAAUAUUGCACAAUGGCGGCAAGCCUGAUGCAGCGACGCCGCGUGAGGGAUGACGGCCGUCGGGUUGUAAACCUCUUUCAGCACAGACGAAGCGCAAGUGACGGUAUGUGCAGAAGAAGGACCGGCCAACUACGUGCCAGCCGCCGCCGUAA
This 478-nucleotide ribosomal RNA is filed under the name uncultured bacterium. RNAcentral describes it as "partial 16S ribosomal RNA". It matches the Rfam family "Bacterial small subunit ribosomal RNA", at positions 28 to 523 of the family's 1533-position model. The record is from RNAcentral.